Molecule: long non-coding RNA, 210 nt
Filed under: Citrus sinensis (sweet orange)
Lineage: Eukaryota; Viridiplantae; Streptophyta; Magnoliopsida; Sapindales; Rutaceae
Description: long non-coding RNA (CSIN_LNC000078)
Source: RNAcentral
UUAAAUUUUAGUAUUUGUAUUAUCUUUGGUCUUAAGUGAUGUUACGCUAUGUUUGCUACUUUACAUGUUGAUGUCGGAGACAAAUGUGAGUUGCUUGAAGGAAUGAACAUGUCAUAAUAAGUACCAAGUGAGUUUUUGAGCCUAUUAUUUUUCUUGGAGAAUAACCCUUUUGCCCACUCUUUAUACAGCUUAGCAGUUUAUUAUUUUAUA